This 978-nucleotide long non-coding RNA is filed under the name Fukomys damarensis (Damara mole-rat). RNAcentral's name for it is "lncRNA (ENSFDAG00000022828.1)". Lineage: Eukaryota; Metazoa; Chordata; Mammalia; Rodentia; Bathyergidae. The record is from RNAcentral.
CAGUACUGGGAGUCGAACUCAGAACCUUGCACUUGCCAGGCAGGUGCCAUCGAGCUACAUCCCUGGCCUUUUUUUUUUUAAAUGCAAGACAGCUGUGAUUUAAGUGGUAGAGAAACUGACUCAGAAGCCAAAGAAACGCUAGGGUGGUCUCAUUUGCAGAUGCAAAGUGAAAGAUUGCGGCAGAAAGUCUGAGCCGGAAGAGACAUCAAAAAGUGCGUGGUCCUCUCCUCUGGGGGUCAGGAGUUUGAGUGAGAGCAGGCAGGCGGUUUCUAGGACAAACACUCAUCUCCAUCCAUUUUAGCUGUCUGGGUGGGGGUCUCCUUUAGGUAUGGAAAGAUGGAAGUGUGCAUUGGAGCAGAGUGAGGAGGAAGUUUUCGUGAUGGUCCGGCAGUGCUGAGCUCUGGCCCCAUGGUGAGCAGCAGUCCCCCACUCCCCUGAUCCCGGCUGGACCGACAAGAGUGUGAGUCUCCGUGCUUCCUGCCAUGCCCUGCAGGCCUCUGCCCAGCAGCCCCUUUGAGGGGGUUAUGCUUCCUGCCUCUAGCUCUUCUGCUCCUCCCCUCUCCCCUGAGGAUGGUACAGCCCUGGUGAGGCUGCCCCUGAGAUCUGACGACCUGGGGAGCAGUGCCAUGGUGCCCACGAACAUCACCAUGGGACCCAGACGAGAAACAAACUUUCACUGCUGUUAAGCCCUGAAGAUUUUGGGCUGUUCUCGACCACAUCCGCUGUGAAUCAUGCAAUACACAGCUACUAUUUCUCUCCCCUUUAUCACUAUUGGAAAAGCCCAUUUCUCCCAAUAAAGAAUGAAGAAACCACAGGUACUCACUUUCUAAGCCUCCUUUACAGCUAAAGCUGUUCUACUUGUCUUGAGAAAUGACAGGUACUCCUUGCCUGUACCUUCUUGGUAUACUUCCAGGAAAAAGAUUUUCCUCUAGUACCAAAAUAGAAGCUUAGCCUGGUGGCACAUGCCUGCAAUCCCAG